Molecule: transfer RNA, 125 nt
Filed under: Daphnia pulex (common water flea)
Lineage: Eukaryota; Metazoa; Arthropoda; Branchiopoda; Diplostraca; Daphniidae
Rfam family: tRNA
About the family: Transfer RNA (tRNA) molecules are approximately 80 nucleotides in length.
Source: Rfam by way of RNAcentral
GCUCCAGUGGCGCAGUCGGUUAGCGCAUGGUACUUAUAGGACAGUAUUCAUAUUGAUCAAAGAAAAACAUUACCUGGAUCGAAUAAGGAAUGCCGAGGUCGCGAGUUCGAGCCUCGCCUGGAGCA